Molecule: unclassified non-coding RNA, 534 nt
Filed under: Hevea brasiliensis (rubber tree)
Lineage: Eukaryota; Viridiplantae; Streptophyta; Magnoliopsida; Malpighiales; Euphorbiaceae
Source: RNAcentral
CCUCUCACCCACCUUACGCCUCUGUAAGUAACAAGUAUCUUACACUCUUGUUUCGCGUUAUCUUGGUUAAAUGUAUUGCUGUUUGAAGUACGUAUCCUGCUCUUUUCGUUAUUUUGAUGUGCAAAUCGAUAAAGAAGCGCACUUUAGAAUAUGUUUAGGCUAUUGCUUUUUGAAGCGGAAAUCGUUCAAUAGAAGCAUGUUCAAAUUGUAAAAGUGAAAGUUGCUUUCUAUUUGCCCUGGAAAGUCACUUCUAAAAUAAUUGCCCUGUCUGGAACUGAUAUGUAUGCUUUUGGAAGCAUGUUUUUCCUUGGUUUUAGCUUAAUUCAGUGAGUGUUAACUCAGUUAAAGCACAUCAAACAGUACCAUCUUUGUGGUUGUUACAUGUUCUCAUUUGGCCUCCCUUUUUCUUUUCUUCCUUCUAAAGAUGAUUCUAAGGGCAAUUUCAGAGUUGAAUGAUGAAGGGGGGUCCACCGAGGAGGCAAUAUCAGCAUUUAUUAAAAGAGAGUAUGAGCAUUUGCCAUGGGGGCAUGAGAG